RNAcentral lists this long non-coding RNA (5665 nucleotides) under Homo sapiens (human). RNAcentral's name for it is "non-protein coding lnc-WRNIP1-34:2". The record is from RNAcentral. Lineage: Eukaryota; Metazoa; Chordata; Mammalia; Primates; Hominidae.
AAGAGUCUUUGGUAGAGGAAACUGCUGAGAUCUUGCAGCUGUUUGCCAUCCUAGAAGAGUGUAGUUAUGCUGAUAGAUUCAGGGGACCUUGGGACUUUUGGCCUUAAAGAUUUGGGUCCCUAGAGUUCGCAGCUGAGAGGAGUGCAUGGCAGAGUCUCCUUUGGUGCGCUGUUGUGCUAGCCAUGGGACCCGUGUGCAGAGGAUUUACAAUGAAGCAGUGGUCGGGUGGGUCCCACCUUCCCACACCCCUGGGUUGCUGGGAUUGGGGGAGUGGUGAGCAUUGGAAGGAGGUACUCAGAGGGGAGAGGGCUUCAGCCUAUAAUCUGAUAUCUAGGUAGACAUUUGCCCUAUUGUGAAAUAAAUGAAGUAAGGAUUUCUAGGAUCUUUUAUAUGAAAUAAAAUUAGGCCCAGAUGGUUUCACUGGUCAAAUUUUCUAAAUGUUUAGGAGAGAAACAAUAACAAUGCUAUACAAAGUUUUCCAGAUGAUAGAAAAAAGGGAACACUUUCUAUUAUGAGGCAUCUACCCUGAAUAUCAAAAUCUGACAAGGAAAAGACAGGAGAAUCACAAGAUGCUUAAUUCCCUAAUAAGAUAUUAGCAAACCAAAUCAACUGGUGUAUAAAAAGGAUAGAACAUCAUGUUCAGAUGUGGUUUAUUCUAGGGAUUCAGAGUGGUUUAACUUUUGAGAGUCGAUGUAAUUCUUUAGAUUACUAGAACAAAAGGGGGAAAUCGUAUGCUCAUCUUGAUAGAUGAAGAAAAAAAUUGGACAAAAUUCAGCACUCCUUCAUGAUAAAAACUCCCAGCAAACUAGGAACAGAAAGGAACUUUCAUAAUCCAAUAAAGAAUAUUUACAAAAAACCCACAGCAGCAAACAUGAUACUCAAUGGCGAAACAUUGAAAACUCUAGGGAAAGCUGAGGCUUUAAACAAACAGGUUUAAAUGGAGUCCCCAGAAAAGCAUGUGUACUUGUGACACAUGGGUACGUAUGCACACAUAUGAAUGUUUCGGCUUCAUAAAUGCAGUGAUAGUUUUCUUUCCAAAAAGACCCUGAAGACCAAGCCUUUGCUCGCUUCUGUGUUGAUUGAAACACUGUUUGAAAUGUUGAAAUCUAAGGAAACUUUGGCUAAACUCACAAAAACAAAACCAAACAGGCCAAAAAGAAAUCAGAUAUCUGAUCAGGACUCCAUAUUGUGAAGGUUUUUGUGGUCACACAAAUAGUGCAUUAGAAUGAGUUCUCUCUGUGAAGUCUGAUCUUUGAAACUUUAGUGGUGCCUUUGGUUCCUGAGCUCUCUUGAAUAAUGAAGAGGGUCUAUAGAGCGUACAUUUCAUGUGGGCCAGUGGUUCUCAACCUCGAGAAAUGUCUGGACAAAUCUCUUUCAAAGAAAAAAAUUUCUGACAGAAUCCCCCAGUGUUUAAAUAAAUUGUCAUUGUUGUAGUACUUCAGUAUGUACAGUCCCUAAAGCUAUGCAUAAACUCCCUUUACUUUAAUUUAUAAUUUUAUAAUUUAUAGUUUAUAUAAUUAUAUAAUUUAUAUAUUUAAUGAUCACCAUUCUAACUGGUGUGAGAUGGUAUCUCAUUGUGGUUUUGAUUUGCAUUUCUCUGAUGGCCAGUGAUGAUGAGCAUUUUUUCAUGUGUUUUUUGGCUGCAUAAAUGUCUUCUUUUGAGAAGUGUCUGUUCAUAUCCUUCACCCACUUUUUGAUGGGGUUGUUUUUUUCUUGUAAAUUUGUUUGAGUUCAUCGUAGAUUCUGGAUAUUAGCCCUUUGUCAGAUGAGUAGGUUGCAAAAAUUUUCUCCCAUUCUGUAGGUUGCCUGUUCACUCUGAUGGUAGUUUCUUUUGCUGUGCAGAAGCUCUUUAGUUUAAUUAGAUCCCAUUUGUCAAUUUUGGCUUUUGUUGCCAUUGCUUUUGGUGUUUUGGACAUGAAGUCCUUGCCCAUGCAUUAAAAAGUCAGGAAACAACAGGUGCUGGAGAGGAUGUGGAGAAAUAGGAACACUUUUACACUGUUGGUGGGACUGUAAACUAGUUCAACCAUUGUGGAAGUCAGUGUGGAGAUUCCUCAGGGAUCUAGAACUAGAAAUACCAUUUGACCCAGCCAUCCCAUUACUGGGUAUGUACUCAAAGGAUUAUAAAUCAUGCUGCUAUAAAGACACAUGCACACGUAUGUUUAUUGCGGCACUACUCACAAUAGCAAAGACUUGGAACCAACCCAAAUGUCCAACAAUGAUAGACUGGAUUAAGAAAAUGUGGCACAUAUACACCAUGGAAUACCAUGCAGCCAUAAAAAAUGAUGAGUUCAUGUCCUUUGUAGGGACAUGGAUGAAGCUGGAAACCAUCAUUCUCAGCAAACUAUCCCAAGGACAAAAAACCAAACACGGCAUGUUCUCACUCAUAGGUGGGAAUUGAACAAUGAGGACACAUGGACACAGGAAGGGGAACAUCACGCACCGGGGCCUGUCGUGGGGUGGGGGGAGUGGGGAGGGAUAGCAUUAGGAGAUAUAGCUAAUGCUAAAUGACGAGUUAAUGGGUGCAGCACACCAACAUGGCACGUGUAUACAUAUGUAACAAACCUGCACGUUGUGCACAUGUACCCUAAAACUUAAAGUAUAAAAAAAAAAAGUGGUAAUGGGAAGGAGGGACUUUUACUGUAAAAAAAAUUAUAUAUUUAAAUUUAUAAAUUUAAAAAUUCUGCAAGUACAUAGACUCUAUACCAAAACCACUGCUCUUAACGUGAAUCUGGAAUGGACUGUUAAGGUUCAGUUUCUUUUCUAUUUUUAAUUCAAGAUGACCAUUUUAAUAUCUUCUGCAAAAUGAUGCUAUUAUUCUGCCAUUUCUCUCUAUUCAAACCACCAGCAAGCUUUCCUGUAACCCUCUGAUAGGUCAUCUGGCCAGCGGCUGGCUCGAGGUAUCAUUAGGUCCAGGGUGGGCAAGCUGUAGCUUGUGGGCCAAACUCAGCCUACUACCGGUUUUUGUAAAUAAAGCUUUAUCAGAAGACAGCCAUGUCUACUUAUUCAUAUUUAGUCUAUGGCUGCUUUCACACCACAUCAGCCAUCAGGUAAAUGUGACAAAAGCCAAAAAGCCUGCAAAGUCUAAAGUAUUUACUAUCUGGCCCUUUACAGAAAAAGCUUACUGACCCCUGAUUGACAGGAUAAGCUCUAUUCUUUUAUUAGCUCAUUGCAAUUAAGGUAGUACUUUUUGACACUAAUACCCUCAUAAAGCCCAAUGCAGAAGCAAGCAUUGAUUAUAUCAAGGGACAGUACUUGGUAAUGGGGUAGGCAUUCAGAUAACUCAGGAUCGAUUUACUGAUUAUAAAUUAUGUUUCUGGAGCAACUUAGACCACUUCACACUACUAGAUGCUAAGUAUUUAGCACUGACAUAAAGUUAGAGGUGCUAUGGUGUGAAAAUGUCCCCUCCAAAAUAAAGGUGUUGCCAAUGUGAUAGUAUAAAGAGGUGGGACAUUUAAGAGGUGAUCAGGCCAUGAAGGGUCCUCUUUCAUGAAUGGGAUUAGGCACCCUUGUAAAAGGGCUUGAUGGAGGGAGUCUGUGUCUUUUUGUUCCUUCUGCCUUCAGCUAUGUGAAGAUGCAGCAGGUAGGCCCUCACCACAUGCUGGCACCUGGAUCUUGGACUUCCCAGCCUCUGGAACUGUGACAAAUAAAUUUCUGUUCUUCAUAAAUUAUCUAGUCUCAGGUAUUUUGUUGUAGCUGCACAAAGCAGAUUAAGACAAAAGGGAAUAAUUGCUGGGGGACAGUUGUGAAUGGAAAAACACACUUACUCCCCUCACAUAAGCUUAGCAGGAUGGAUGGCUUUACUUAAGUGAGGUGAGAUGCGGCAGACAUCAUGGGAUCCCACAAUAGGGGAAGUCGGGAACAGAAGAAGCACCUGGGAAGAAAUCAUGUUUGAGCUGAGACUUUGCGUAUGUGUAGGAGUUAGAUAAGCCAAGAGGAUAGGAGGAAACUUCCAGGCAGGAUACAGAGCAUGUGCCCAGGUACAUUCUUAAAACUUUUGAGGAAUGGAAAAAUGAAGAUGUCUAUGGAUACAUUGGCCGCAUACAUCUGAGUGAUUUGCACACUCUGACUUUCAGCUAUUUAUGUUUUUGGCCUGGGUUCCAUGUUAGAAUGUCGAGAUAGCAUCUCUGGGAUAGUUCGUUGCUGGACAUUUAUUGACAUUAAAUUCCAUGUUUUCUUAGUACAGGAGAAGAAGUUUCGCUUUCCUACCCACCUUGUUCCUACACAGUCUCAAAAGUAAAAGCAGACAGACCAGUCUGUAUUUGCCAAACUCUUUCAUGCUCUGAGCUUGUAAUAUAUUGGCCUAUUUCUCCUUUUCCCCAAAGAAGGAAACUUAGCUCUCAUAUUUCUUUUUAUGGUGAGACAAAGUCAUACAUAUAUAUUUCACAGGAGUUAAAAAAAUACCUAAUUUCAAGUCUCAGAAUAUUCUUUAAUGAUACUUUCUCCUCUUUCCUCAUCUAGACCAAUUAGAUACAAAUGCCCUCAGUGGAGUAUGGAAAGAAUAUCUUAUUCUGCAAAGGGUUUAUUUUAGAAGGAAUGUAUUAAGAGUGAGGUCUGUUGGGUUAAACCUGCUUAAUGGCUGUGUGCAUCCUUGCUCAUGACAAACCAAGCACAGUCUCUUUCCUGGAGCUGGCACAAGAAAGUGCUGGGAGGUGGGUGUUUGCAAACCAGUUCACGUGAAAUUACCUAAUUUAAUGAAGUCUGUGUUAAAGCAUGGCUCCCCAUGUCCCCAUGGUAAGACAGUCCUGAACCAGCUGGCUCUCUGUCCUGUGUGCGCUGGUAUCCUUGAUGGGAGCCUGUGGAAACUGGGUGCAGAGAGCAUGAUUUCAAUUCCUGGCCUGGUUCCAUGCAACCUGCUAAGGUCCUCUGGACAAGUCAUUUUAUACAUUUGGGCCUGAGGUAUUUGCACCAGAUGAUCACUAAAGUCCCUUCUGGCUGUAGCAUUCUGUGAAUGAAUCUAUUGAAUUUGUUGAAAAUCCCUAGACAGAUGGAAAUGGAGGUUGAAAGUUUAUUUAGUACAGCAUUUUAUGGGGGAAAUCAGCACAACUGCAAGCCCUCCUCGCACUGCUUGCUGCUGCCAUUUAAGCUAGUCACCUGUUUAACAAUAGUAAUAAUUUGAUUUGAUCUCAAGGACAAUUGAGAUUGAAGGAAGGUUGUGAAUUUGAGUGCAGUGUCUAAAGGAUGACAUCCAUGUUUGUGCCUCCUCCCCCCUCAAAGCUCUUGUCUGAAACACCACUGUUCCAGAACACCUGGGGCUUCUUUACCUGAGUAUUAUGCUAUUCUCAUUAAGCACAAGAACAUGCAACAAUUACGUAGAAGUGUGCGUGUGGGGAAAAUUGAACACAUUUCACAAGGGAAUGGUGAGGGAGUGGGUAUACAAAGCCGGCUUUGAACCUGCAAACCCGGGCCAGCCAACAUGUCACAGGUGAGAGCGUGUUAGUGAGAGGGUGAUGACAGUUCUGGGACCGUUAAUUCAUGGAUCCUCAGAUACACUCGGGCAAUUGUUCUGGGUUUCCGGGAGGUGCGAGGGCGUUCCUCCUCCAGGGCGCGUGCAGGCCACGCUGAGCAGCCCUGCUGAACGUCUCCCGGUGUGCCGUCUCUCUGUUUCUCUGUUCCCCUUUCCGUCUUCUCUCUUAUGUUCCUACUUGUCCUUUCUUCUUGACUUCCU